AUUGAACGCUGGCGGAAUGCUUUACACAUGCAAGUCGAACGGCAGCACGGACUUCGGUCUGGUGGCGAGUGGCGAACGGGUGAGUAACAUAUCGGAACGUAUCCAAUAAUGGGGGAUAACGAGUCGAAAGAUUCGCUAAUACCGCAUACGCCCUACGGGGGAAAGCUGGGGACCUUCGGGCCUGGCGUUGAUGGAGCGGCCGAUAUCUGAUUAGCUAGUUGGUGAGGUAAAGGCCCACCAAGGCGACGAUCAGUAGCUGGUCUGAGAGGACGACCAGCCACACUGGGACUGAGACACGGUCCAGACUCCGACGGGAGGCAGCAGUGGGGAAUUUUGGACAAUGGGCGCAAGCCUGAUCCAGCCAUUCCGCGUGAGUGAAGAAGGCCUUCGGGUUGUAAAGCUCUUUCGCAAGGGAAGAAAACUUAGCCACUAACAUUGGUUGAGGUUGACGGUACCUUGAUAAGAAGCACCGGCUAACUACGUGCCAGCCGCCGCCGUAA
This 500-nucleotide ribosomal RNA is filed under the name uncultured bacterium. Its description in RNAcentral is "partial 16S ribosomal RNA". It matches the Rfam family "Bacterial small subunit ribosomal RNA", at positions 30 to 523 of the family's 1533-position model. The record is from RNAcentral.